Nasonia vitripennis (jewel wasp) is the source of this 941-nucleotide long non-coding RNA. RefSeq lists it as uncharacterized. The transcript is spliced from 3 exons. NCBI's taxonomy places the organism in Eukaryota, Metazoa, Arthropoda, Insecta, Hymenoptera, Pteromalidae. The record is from RefSeq and is a predicted model, not a curated record.
AAGUAUAUAUAAGUAUAUCAUGAGUUGAUUUGUCACGGUUACGCAUGCGUUGAUUUUGAAAUACAAAAAAGCAGCAUUUUAUCACGUACAGCAAAGUUCUCUCGUUCGCCGGUGGGCAGAGUGAGAUAUUCCUGGGGCUCAGAACUCUCCAUUCCGUGGCAGUAAAUUGACAUAUACCUCCCUCCGACGAGCAACGUGUACUCGCCGUCAAUGUUAGUCUUUAAUCUACUCUGCACCUCGAGACACGAGGUCGGCCCGGUGCAUGGCCGCGGAUUGCAUUUGCGCUUGCGUUGCGGUCGCAGGUUAAUUGGACAGUGACGCCGCCUGACCUUUCUGCCAUGGCGAUCGAGACAGAAGAGCCGCCGGGACUGCCUGCCCUUACGGCCGCACGGAUGGGAGCACUACAAUUAUGACAGAUAUUUUGCCGGCCAUCCAGUAGAAGGGUUCGUUGCAGCCUCCCUUGCGACAGACCUGCGCUAUCGGGGGUUUGUCUCUCAGAGGGCAGCCACUUGACAGGGGCGUCGGAUCCUCCCAGCCGAAGCUAUUGAUGCGGUGGCAGGUGACCUCGCGACGUCGCACCCCAUUGCCGCAGCUCACCGAACACUGAUUAUGAAAAAUAUUUUUAUUUUUAUUUUAUGGCGCAAUUCCGUGCAAUUAUUGAAAGAUUUUUAAUGCUCACCUCACUCCAACUGCCUGCACGCCACUUGUACUCUAUAACUGCUUGAGAACUGUAGCUGUUUUUGCUAGGGCGACAAGGAGGUCUCUGGCACUUCUUGGCGUGUCUAGGUCUGGAGACUUCUGAACAGUCACUAUCGUUUAGGACUUCGCCGCGUUUAUCUUGGCACGAAACUUGUCGAUGCUGGUAUCCAUCGCCGCAUUUGACGUCGCACUAAAUAAAUAAGUUUAUUGAUAUUCAAUAAAUAAGGAGCCAUUAAGCUACA